GACGAACGCUGGCGGCGUGCCUAACACAUGCAAGUCGAGCGGAAGUAUAGCAAUAUACUUUAGCGGCGGACGGGUGAGUAACACGUGGGCAACCUGCCUUAUACAGGGGGAUAGCCACCCGAAAGGGUGAUUAAUACCGCAUAACACUGAGAUGCCACAUGGCAGUUCAGUCAAAGGAGCAAUCCGGUAUAAGAUGGGCCCGCGGUCCAUUAGAUAGUUGGUGAGGUAACGGCUCACCAAGUCGACGAUGGGUAGCCGAUCUGAGAGGAUGACCGGCCACAUUGGAACUGAGACACGGUCCAGACUCCUACGGGAGGCAGCAGUGGGGAAUAUUGCGCAAUGGGGGAAACCCUGACGCAGCAACGCCGCGUGAGCGAUGAAGGCCUUCGGGUCGUAAAGCUCUGUCUUUUGGGACGAUAAUGACGGUACUUGGGGAGGAAGCCCCGGCUAACUACGUGCCAGCAGCCGCGGUAAUACGUAGGGGGCAAGCGUUGUCCGGAAUUACUGGGCGUAAAGGGAGCGUAGGCGGUCUUUUAAGUUAGAUGUGAAAUACCCGGGCUCAACUUGGGAGGUGCAUCUAAAACUGGGAGACUUGAGUGCAGGAGAGGAAAGUGGAAUUCCUAGUGUAGCGGUGAAAUGCGUAGAUAUUAGGAGGAACACCAGUGGCGAAGGCGACUUUCUGGACUGUAACUGACGCUGAGGCUCGAAAGCGUGGGGAGCAAACAGGAUUAGAUACCCUGGUAGUCCACGCUGUAAACGAUGAAUACUAGGUGUAGGGGGUAUCAACUCCCUCUGUGCCGCAGCAAACGCA
RNAcentral lists this ribosomal RNA (811 nucleotides) under uncultured Eubacteriales bacterium. RNAcentral's name for it is "bacterial SSU rRNA". It matches the Rfam family "Bacterial small subunit ribosomal RNA", at positions 28 to 859 of the family's 1533-position model. The record is from RNAcentral. Lineage: Bacteria; Bacillati; Bacillota; Clostridia; Eubacteriales.